AUUGAACGCUGGCGGCAGGCCUAACACAUGCCAGUCGAGCGGAUGAAGGGAGCUUGCUCCUGGAUUCAGCGGCGGACGGGUGAGUAAUGCCUAGGAAUCUGCCUGGUAGUGGGGGAUAACGUCCGGAAACGGGCGCUAAUACCGCAUACGCCCUGAGGGAGAAAGUGGGGGAUCUUCGGACCUCACGCUAUCAGAUGAGCCUAGGUCGGAUUAGCUAGUUGGUGGGGUAAAGGCCUACCAAGGCGACGAUCCGUAACUGGUCUGAGAGGAUGAUCAGUCACACUGGAACUGAGACACGGUCCAGACUCCUACGGGAGGCAGCAGUGGGGAAUAUUGGACAAUGGGCGAAAGCCUGAUCCAGCCAUGCCGCGUGUGUGAAGAAGGUCUUCGGAUUGUAAAGCACUUUAAGUUGGGAGGGAGGGCAGUAAGUUAAUACCUUGCUGUUUUGACGUUACCAACAGAAUAAGCACCGGCUAACUUCGUG
RNAcentral lists this ribosomal RNA (484 nucleotides) under uncultured bacterium. Its description in RNAcentral is "partial 16S ribosomal RNA". It matches the Rfam family "Bacterial small subunit ribosomal RNA", at positions 30 to 507 of the family's 1533-position model. The record is from RNAcentral.